Molecule: long non-coding RNA, 1332 nt
Organism: Mirounga angustirostris (Northern elephant seal)
Lineage: Eukaryota; Metazoa; Chordata; Mammalia; Carnivora; Phocidae
Exons: 3
Source: RefSeq, a predicted model, not a curated record
CUCAUUGAGAAAACUGAGGUCAUCCGGGUGCUUUCUGUCACUUCCUACUUUCUACGUACAAUUUACCUCUACCCAGUCGGUCCUCUGCUGAGCCUGCCCUGCGGCAGGGAAAGCCGCCCACGAACCCGAUCCCGCUGCUGACCGGGGACCAGAUGCUUAUUACACAGCCGCUGCAAGCCCAGCUCUUUGCAGUGGAGGCGGCAGGAAAAAGAGAAAGACUUCCACUCAAGGAACAUCGAUUACAGAGGCUAGCAUGCUUGCACGGGGUUUUCUAGAGAAAAGCAGACAACGGCAUGUUGUGCCAUAAAGGUCUGGAAACCAGAAGUCUGGAAGCAGUUUUACUGGGCUAACAUCAAGGCAUCCACAGGGCUGGUUUCCUCUGGAGGCUCCAUGGGAGAAUCGGCUUCUUUGAUUCCUUCCUCACCUUACCCUCAACCCAUUUGCUUUCAGGAUCACAUCCCUUCCUCCCUCCUCUCCUCAUUACUCAAAUCUUCCUCCUCUCUCUCCUAAUGACCCUUGAGAUUAUAUUUUGGGUCCACCAGACAAUACAGGAUAAUCUCCCCAUUUCCAGAUCCUUAAUUUAAUCACGUCUGCAAAGUCCUUUGGCACAUAAGGUAAUAUGCACAGAUGCUGGGGAUUAGAACAUGGAUCCUUUGGGGGACAGUAUUUAGCAUACUAUAGUUUUACACACUGAAUUUCACCUGCCCCUUGACUGCUCACAUAUCUUUGUGCCACUUUCUUGAGUCUUAUUCCGGCCAAAGAAUGUUACUUAAUAAGGCAUUUCCAUAGAUAUGAAUAUGGGUAUAUAUGAAGUUAUUUAUUAUUUAUGCAUUUUCCUAUGUAUUUUAUAAUUUUCAAGGUAUACUGACACAUCUUUAAGAAUUUAGAGGGUAUGAUUUCUGUGUUCUCAGUGCUUGUGUUUAACUUCACAGAAAAAAACAUCAUGCCAAUAUUAUAUAUAACUUCUUUAAGCCUGUGGAAAGAGAGCCUGUACGAAGACCCGUAAAUGUAUCGUGGGAGAUGUGUCAGUGGUGGACGGGCAUUGGGCUGGUUGCUCAGAUGCCAGCAAAUGGUACCACCUUCUUUCUAGUCUACUAAAUUCCAGCGUCCAAUGUGCCCCUCACCACCCCCCCCCCAUUCUGCUGACUGCACCACCCAAUUCACCUCCAACUUCCCCAGUUUGUCUUUUGGCUUUGUCCACUGUCUUCAACACCCAGUUGGAGAAAUUUCCAUUGAACUUUUAUCUUUUGUCCACCUCUGUCCUUCAUGACUUUCUUCUUCAGUAAUCUUAUCUACUCCUUCAACUUCAACUCUCAUCCAUGGGGAUAAAUU